This 830-nucleotide long non-coding RNA is filed under the name Ananas comosus (pineapple). RNAcentral's name for it is "long non-coding RNA (ACOM_LNC031136)". The record is from RNAcentral. Lineage: Eukaryota; Viridiplantae; Streptophyta; Magnoliopsida; Poales; Bromeliaceae.
GUUAGAUUGAUAAUCUUAAUUUUUAUUUCAAUUAAGUCCAUGUCAUUCAAAAUACUGCAAAUUAUAAUAAAAAUUGUAAAAAAAAAAUUAAAUUAUAGAAAUUUUGUUUAUAAAUACUUAAUUUUUUUACUUUUCUUUCCAAACUUUCAAAACUUAUAGUUUACCCCUCAAUAUUUUAAUUUAUUAUAUUUUGCCCCCUCAGUUAGGAUUUUAUUAUUAUUCUGUCAUUUUUUAUAAUUUAUACCGAAAAUAUCUUUCAAAAUAAUAAAAAAAUAUUUAAAAAUAAUUUUAUUUUUAUAAAAAAAUAAGGAUAAUUUGAUGAUUUUGUCUUUUCCAUUAACACCUUACCAUCCUGAAUAUAUUUUUAGAAUUUUAAGGGGGACAAAAUUAUAGAUUUUUUUAAAAGUUGGGGAGUAAAAAUAAAAAAAAAAGUAAAUUUUAAAUACCACCCCUGUGGUUUUGCACUUUCUCACUUUAAUACAUUCUGAUUUAAAAUGUACCAAGUCAGUGUCAUUUUGUUUUAUUUUUAUCUUCUCGUCAGCUUUUUCAUUAAUAUUUUGAUAAAUUAUAUACAAAAAAACUUCAUAUACCGCUCAUAGGUUUAUCGAAUAUUCACUCUAGUAUAAUUUAGUUUUAAUUUUGUCACUAAUUUAAUAAAAAAAAUUAGUGAAAUCUAUAAUUAAAAAAUAAAAAUAAAACCAUAAGAUACUAAAUUGAUACAUUUUAGACCACAUGUACUAAAGUAAGAAAGUGUGAAGUUGUAUUUGAAGUUUUUUUUUGUUUUUAAUAAUGACGUGUUGCAAGUUUAUUGGUUUUUGUGCAGAUGAUGU